RNAcentral lists this transfer RNA (83 nucleotides) under Canis lupus familiaris (dog). It matches the Rfam family "tRNA". From Rfam's summary of the family: Transfer RNA (tRNA) molecules are approximately 80 nucleotides in length. The record is from Rfam by way of RNAcentral. RNAcentral also lists the same sequence under 1 other name. Lineage: Eukaryota; Metazoa; Chordata; Mammalia; Carnivora; Canidae.
GCCUGAGUGGCUCAGUGGUGUAGCGUCUGCCUUCAGCUCAGGGCAUGAUCCUGGGGUGGCAGGAUCGAGUCCUGCAUCAGGCU